This 72-nucleotide transfer RNA is filed under the name Camelus bactrianus (Bactrian camel). It matches the Rfam family "tRNA". From Rfam's summary of the family: Transfer RNA (tRNA) molecules are approximately 80 nucleotides in length. Their secondary structure includes four short double-helical elements and three loops (D, anti-codon, and T loops). Further hydrogen bonds mediate the characteristic L-shaped molecular structure. tRNAs have two regions of fundamental functional importance: the anti-codon, which is responsible for specific mRNA codon recognition, and the 3' end, to which the tRNAs corresponding amino acid is attached (by aminoacyl-tRNA synthetases). tRNAs cope with the degeneracy of the genetic code in two manners: having more than one tRNA (with a specific anti-codon) for a particular amino acid; and 'wobble' base-pairing, i.e. permitting non-standard base-pairing at the 3rd anti-codon position. The record is from Rfam by way of RNAcentral. Lineage: Eukaryota; Metazoa; Chordata; Mammalia; Artiodactyla; Camelidae. RNAcentral also lists the same sequence under 2 other names.
GAGGGUAUAACUCAGUGGUAGACUACAUGCAUAGCAUGCCUGAGGUCCUGGGUUCAAUCCCCAGUAUCUCCA